RNAcentral lists this ribosomal RNA (474 nucleotides) under Triticum aestivum (bread wheat). Its description in RNAcentral is "partial small subunit ribosomal RNA". The record is from RNAcentral. Lineage: Eukaryota; Viridiplantae; Streptophyta; Magnoliopsida; Poales; Poaceae.
AUGGAGACGGGAGCGAAGGCGCCGAAGAAGGCCGGGCGCCGGGCCGGCGGCGGCGGCCCCAAGAAGAAGUCCGUCUCGCGCUCCGUCAAGGCCGGCCUCCAGUUCCCCGUGGGCCGCAUCGGGCGCUACCUCAAGCACGGGCGCUACGCCAAGCGCGUCGGCUCCGGCGCCCCCGUCUACCUCGCCGCCGUCCUCGAGUACCUCGCCGCCGAGCUCCUCGAGCUAGCGGGGAACGCGGCGCGGGACAACAAGAAGAACCGGAUCAUCCCGCGGCACGUGCUGCUCGCGAUCCGCAACGACGAGGAGCUCGGGAAGCUGCUGGCCGGCGUCACCAUCGCCUACGGAGGCGUCCUGCCCAACAUCAACCCCGUGCUGCUUCCCAAGAAGGCCGCUGCGGCGGCUUCCAAGGAGCCCAAGGCAGGCACGACCAAGUCUCCCAGGAAGUCCCCCGCCAAGAAGGCGGCCGACGCUUAG